UUGUGUAGAAGUAAAUAUUACGGUUAAUUUCGGCUUAACGAUUGGGACUAAGGUCUUCACACAAU
Molecule: transfer RNA, 65 nt
Filed under: Bemisia afer
Lineage: Eukaryota; Metazoa; Arthropoda; Insecta; Hemiptera; Aleyrodidae
Description: tRNA-Arg
Source: RNAcentral